UACGUAGGGUGCAGGCGUUAAUCGGAAUUACUGGGCGUAAAGCGUGCGCAGGCGGUUUGUUAAGACAGAUGUGAAAUCCCCGGGCUUAACCUGGGAACUGCAUUUGUGACUGGCAAGCUAGAGUAUGGCAGAGGGGGGUAGAAUUCCACGUGCAGCAGUGAAAUGCGUAGAGAUGUGGAGGAAUACCGAUGGCGAAGGCAGCCCCCUGGGCCAAUACUGACGCUCAUGCACGAAAGCGUGGGGAGCAAACAGG
RNAcentral lists this ribosomal RNA (253 nucleotides) under uncultured bacterium. RNAcentral describes it as "partial 16S ribosomal RNA". It matches the Rfam family "Bacterial small subunit ribosomal RNA", at positions 524 to 776 of the family's 1533-position model. The record is from RNAcentral.